AGGCGGCGAAACCCACGGUGACACGGACACGGGCGGCAAGAGGAGACACGGAGCCUCCGCGCUGGCGAGAGCGUCUGCGCGGGCAGUGGCUCUGGAGACUUUUACUAAGAUGGAUGGAGGAUCAGGCUGUACUGGACUCCCAUUCUGAAGUGCCCCUCAAACCCUACAGACAGUGCUUUCAUGGCCUUUGCUCUGGAAAAGCCUCUUGCGGUUACCCCAGGCAUGAGUGUUUUCAGGCUUCAGGCAAGCCAACGUGAGAAACAGCUCUUCGAACCCAUGAGAUGAGAAACUGCAACUUGCAACUCACCUCUACUCCUUCCAGACCAGUAAGGUUUGCUGGUGGUACUGCAAAUAGCAAAGGGCUGAGGAAGGCUGGAAGAAAAGCUGUUUUCGACCACCCCAUGAAAGGAAUCUGUUGUGGGUCUGCCAGAAGUAUCUGACUUUUUAAGGUGCCACUUCUAAAGUCAACAUGAAAUCAUGGGAGCCAGUUCAUGUAUCAAUACCAUGUCUUGGAAUUUUGUCAUUUCAGGAGGACCUCACUCUCUUCAAAAAGUAGUUUUCUGUGGCAAAGGCUUGAAAAUGUGAAUGUUGGGGAUAUUCUGGUACAAGCAGGAGACAAUUUUUUUUUCUUACAGUCCUGUACCAAAUCCUGUGUCUCUCCUUUGAGAGCCUUUGCUGGAAUGGGCACAGAAGCAUGGUUCCUACCCCUCUGAUAGUACCUCUCUUCUUUUUAGGGCUACCCCCUUUGCAUCUGCUGCUGCUUGAAUCGACUAUGAAGGAAAGUUUUUUAGGAUGUUAACACUAUUACUCUUUUUUCUGCUUAAACUUUUAGCACAAUGGAUGCAGACGUAGGGCUCUCAUUUCCUCCCUACAGAGAGCCUUUCUGCAUCACCAUUCACUAACCACAAAACAAAAGCAUUAUGUGACUCCAGGACAUACACAAGGCACACUGUAACUUAGCUCUCAUCUUGCACCUAAGCAUAACUUGGGUCUGUCUUAACUGUCGUUGUAUUUCCGCCUUCCAGACUUCCCCUCUUGCAAUGUGUUUCUGUUUAAGCCUCCACACCCAUGCUCUUCCCUUGCAUUCUCGCUACCCAGUGAUUUUGUACAUCCUAAUUGCUCUCCCUGUGCUUGGGACACAGCUGCUGCCCAAUGGCAAUCCUGCACUUUGCAGGCAUGAUGAAGGAAGCACAUAGAGCAGAGACAUUUGGGGUAACAGGAUGGGUCUUAUCUAGGUUAAUCUCUCAGUCUCCCUUUGGGGCAAAAUAACCCUUUAAGCAUUGGUUUCUCCUCUGCUGUUUAUCCCCUUUCAUUCUUAUUUCUACCCUAUGAAUUGAGUGAUCUAGAGUCUCUUCUGCUUCUUAGUCACCAUACACAUCAGCCAGCAACUGGAUUCCAUUAAUCCUGGCAGGGAGCAUGUGAGUUUCCAGUUCUUGCACUCCUGGGAUCUGGAUGGAAAUUGUUUCAGCUGGACCUACACACAUCUAUACGCACAUAAAUAUCCACCAAGGAUCUGUCAUGUUCUCAUGUAUUUGGGCCCUUAGGGAAUUUCCAAAAGAUGCUUCCAGCCUCUCUUCAAGUAAACAGUCCCAGGUGAAUGGGAAAUAAGGGCUGGCUUCUCACCUAGAUUUUCCAGUGCCUGAUAAAGUACAGAGUUCCAGCAAGAAGUGUCAACUGCAGCAUUCACGCGCUUCUCUCCACUAGAAUUCCCUCAGUGCUUAAGAGCUGAGCCACCUUCACUGACUUCCUACACUGCUAGGUUCUCUCCUCUGUCUAGUAACAGACUUUUGUUAUAGCAAGCACAUCAGCUCCAAGUUCAUUACCUAUCAGAUUUGAUCAGAGUUCAAAAGCAACUUGAGAUGAGCACAUCCACAUUGGCUUUGUUUCUUCUAGAAGCCAGACUCAAUAAAGAGAAGAGUCAGGACUUUAAUCUAAAAGGCUGGCCUCCUGCAAGUGGGGUUAUGAUGAAUAGAGUGAAACAGAAGGCCAGAGAGCAUGGAAUGCUGGAAGGAAAUCACCCUCUGCUCACAGAAAAUGUUACUUGGUCCCCCAGCAGUUCUCUCCACUGUAUUGCUUCAGGGAGUUUCUAACUAGUUUUUGCAGCUGUCAGCCCUUCAUUUUACUUUAACUGAGUUCUAAUUCGUAAGACAUAGGAUUGACAAUGGCUUUGGUAUUAGUUUCACACAUCAAUUCUAGGAGAGCAUCUUUAUAAUUUAAAAUGGAGGCUCCAUUCUAAUCCUGUUUAGUCUAUCUUGAUUUGAGAUGACAGUCUUAUUACGCGCCCCAUACAUUAUGGUAGGGUGGGUUGGGGCUUUUUGGCAGGGUUGGGUUUUUUGGGAGUAGUCACACUUUUUCCCAUAAUUUCUUUUUAUGAGGUUAUGGCUGCUAAAGUCUGUCCCUCUGCCAAGGUCCAUUCAAGAAAUGUUCACUUCUGGUGCCUGCAUUCUGGCUGAGUCACAGCUAAAGGACUAAAGCUCAUCAAACGCCAGAUGUGUGUCAGUGCCCCUACAUGAAAAGGGCUCUGCUGAGCUCUGACUCUCUACAGAGACAUGCUGCUGCUGGAAAGGCAGCAAGAAAAUGCUCAGAGAGCUGUUGGCUUCCAGUUCUUCUCCAGUACUCCACCUGGGCAGGGCAGGGCUCUUUCCUGAGCUGUGAAAUGCUCACAAAGUCCUGCUGGUUUCCUUGGGAGGCCUGGCAGUUAUGCCAGGAGGAAAGAAAAGGCUUCUCUUUGCUGCUCCCUUUUUGCUUCAGGCUAUUCAGCAGUAAGAAAGUGGUUUUGGGUCUUCCUCUUGUGAGCUGUCAGCAGAGUCAAAGCACAAUGGAAAUUGCCUCCCAGCCUGGAGAUAAAGAGGGAAGCAGAGCUAAACCUGGCAGAGUGACACAUUAACACAUUAAGUGAUCUUCCCCUCAGUCUGUGGCAGCCCUCAGCUUGCUUGCAAGUGUUCACAUGAGCUACCCUGAUCCAGUGUCAACAUUGGGAACAUGUUAUCAUGCAAUAAAUCUACACGACCCCCUCAGAAGGAACACUAAGCUAUCACACUCACCUGCAGCUUCAAUCCUCACAGCUCCAGAAACCCCCACUACUACUGAAAGAUUUAAACCAACAGUGUGUUUUUUGUUUUAAAGAGAUUGGAGCCUUGUUGCUGGCUUUAGGCUAGAAUUUCUGGUGUCUUUCUAGUUGCAUUAUUCAUGGCUUCCAGUUAGCAUAGGGAGCCUAUCCUGUAAUAUCUUUUGGAGCAGGAAGAGCUGUGCUGCUUCCAGGGCUGGCACAUACUCACUGCUUCUCAGCCUGCUUUUCCACUCCCAGUGCUGACACAGCCUGGGAGAAGGAAGACAAAAACUUUGGACUUGGGCUGAGGCAGGAGAACCCCACAAGACCUUUGCCCUGCUGGAGCACAAUUUCAUACACCGUGUUCCUGAGUGAGCUGGACUUGAAUUCCUUGGGUGAAAGCACAGGACUAAGACUAACUCUGCAUGUGAAGAGACACAGAAGAGGCCCUGCCCUCUGUCCUAAGGCUUAUUUAUUGCCUAAAAGCAAAAAUAUAUUGCAGACAGAGCGCUGUUCUUUGUCCUUUGUCUCCAGACAUAAGCUCCU
Long non-coding RNA from Tyto alba (common barn owl), 3595 nucleotides. RefSeq lists it as uncharacterized. The transcript has 3 exons. NCBI's taxonomy places the organism in Eukaryota, Metazoa, Chordata, Aves, Strigiformes, Tytonidae. The record is from RefSeq and is a predicted model, not a curated record.